RNAcentral lists this ribosomal RNA (414 nucleotides) under uncultured microorganism. Its description in RNAcentral is "bacterial SSU rRNA". It matches the Rfam family "Archaeal small subunit ribosomal RNA", at positions 459 to 872 of the family's 1478-position model. The record is from RNAcentral.
CAGCCGCCGCGGUAAUACCGGCGGCCCGAGUGGCGGCCACUAUUAUUGGGCUUAAAGCGUCCGUAGCCGGGUUGGUUAGUCUCCCGGGAAAUCUGGCCGCUUAACGGUCAGAAUUCCGGGAGAUACUGCCAGCCUAGGGACCGGGAGAGGCCGAGGGGAUUCCCGGAGUAGGGGUGAAAUCCUAUAAUCCCGGGAGGACCACCUGUGGCGAAGGCGCUCGGCUGGAACGGGUCCGACGGUGAGGGACGAAGGCCAGGGGAGCAAACCGGAUUAGAUACCCGGGUAGUCCUGGCUGUAAACGAUGCGGACUUUGUGUCGGACAAGCUAUGAGCUUGUCCGGUGCCGGAGGGAAACCGUUAAGUCCGCCGCCUGGGGAGUACGGCCGCAAGGCUGAAACUUAAAGGAAUUGGCGGG